CCUACGGGUGGCAGCAGUGGGGAAUAUUGCACAAUGGGGGAAACCCUGAUGCAGCGACGCCGCGUGAGCGAUGAAGUAUUUCGGUAUGUAAAGCUCUAUCAGCAGGGAAGAAGAUGACGGUACCUGACUAAGAAGCCCCGGCUAACUACGUGCCAGCAGCCGCGGUAAUAAGUAGGGGGCAAGCGUUAUCCGGAUUUACUGGGUGUAAAGGGAGCGUAGACGGCGAUGCAAGCCAGAUGUGAAAGCCCGGGGCUCAACCCCGGGACUGCAUUUGGAACUGUGUGGCUGGAGAGUCGGAGAGGCAGGCGGAAUUCCUAGUGUAGCGGUGAAAUGCGUAGAUAUUAGAAGGAACACCAGUGGCGAAGGCGGCCUGCUGGACGAUGUCUGACGUUGAGGCUCGAAAGCGUGGGGAGCAAACAGGAUUAGAUACCCUUGUAGUC
RNAcentral lists this ribosomal RNA (440 nucleotides) under uncultured bacterium. RNAcentral's name for it is "partial 16S ribosomal RNA". It matches the Rfam family "Bacterial small subunit ribosomal RNA", at positions 338 to 795 of the family's 1533-position model. The record is from RNAcentral.